RNAcentral lists this ribosomal RNA (109 nucleotides) under Microcebus murinus (gray mouse lemur). The record is from RNAcentral. Lineage: Eukaryota; Metazoa; Chordata; Mammalia; Primates; Cheirogaleidae.
GUCUAUGGACACAUCACGCUGAACGUGCUCAAACUCCUCUAAUCUCAGAAGCUAAGCAGGGUUGGGCCUAGUUAGUACUUGGAUGGGAGAAACUACAGUGUUGUGAGUG